AUUGAACGCUGGCGGCAGGCCUAACACAUGCAAGUCGAACGGUAGCACAGAGAGCUUGCUCUCGGGUGACGAGUGGCGGACGGGUGAGGAAUACAUCGGAAUCUACUCUGUCGUGGGGGAUAACGUAGGGAAACUUACGCUAAUACCGCAUACGACCUACGGGUGAAAGCAGGGGAUCUUCGGACCUUGCGCGAUUGAAUGAGCCGAUGUCGGAUUAGCUAGUUGGCGGGGUAAAGGCCCACCAAGGCGACGAUCCGUAGCUGGUCUGAGAGGAUGAUCAGCCACACUGGAACUGAGACACGGUCCAGACUCCUACGGGAGGCAGCAGUGGGGAAUAUUGGACAAUGGGCGCAAGCCUGAUCCAGCCAUACCGCGUGGGUGAAGAAGGCCUU
RNAcentral lists this ribosomal RNA (392 nucleotides) under uncultured bacterium. RNAcentral describes it as "bacterial SSU rRNA". It matches the Rfam family "Bacterial small subunit ribosomal RNA", at positions 30 to 418 of the family's 1533-position model. The record is from RNAcentral.